UUAGAAGUACAUUGGUCAAGUAUAAUUACAAAAUGGUUUAUUUUAAUUUUAUAAACCAAGAGCAGAAUGGACAUAAAAAAGAAUAGCACACAACUAAGUCGGUAUCCUACUCUAAUCAGUUGCCAAAUUGCUCAUAAAUACUAUUAAAAAAAAAAAGAGAAAAAUUACAUAAAAAAAAAGACCCACAAAGUAGAUCCAACUUUAAACAAUUCUAACAAAUAAGCGGGUCUAAAGUUUGGCGAAUGAAUCGAUCGUCAACACAAAAACGGGUCUAAAAUUUGGCAUUAACGACUCUUUCAAAUCCGUACAGUCCCAUGUCAAUCAACAAGAUGACUGGGAUAGAUAACCACAGACAGAUGCUUGAAAGUGUGGAGUGAAUUCGACCGUCAAUACGGUAAAUAACGAAUUCACUUGUGAUGAUCAACCACAAAUUUAUCAGCCAUCUCUGGCCCACAACAAGCAAACAUACAAGCACAACCUAUACAUAAGUCGGUCGAUAUGCAUAUUAACAAACCAAAGACAAAGACAAACUCAACAACUCAAACUUCAUCUCUUGAGGCACAACAAAUGAAUCUGACCGCCAACACUGUGACAUAAUCACAAACUGACAACUUGUUGCAAACAAACAAACCGCAAGUCACAAGACCAUUUAUAUCCACAUUAGUCUGUUGCAAAUACACGUCCACCAACAAUAACAUGUCACCCUCCAGAUAUGUAAAUCGCGGUGAAGUCAUUCAACAAACCAAAUGGCACAACCACAACAGCAACAAAUCUAAAAAGAUAACACACGAGAAACAUGUUUGAGAACCCGGACACCAUAUUGAACCUCCACAAAGUGCAGGGACGAUUUCGAAAGAAAAAAGACCCUUAAGGGUUUUAAAUCCAUAUUGACUAUUGUAACACAUCAAAAGCACUAUCUCCUAUCCAACAUGAUUCAAAACCCAGAAGAAAGGAGGAUAGAGAUAUGAUUCGGGACUAUACAAAGACAAUUUGAGGCGAAAUAAGAAGGAACAUAACAAUCAUACCAACCAACACAGCAACGACGGCGUGAUUGGUUUUGAAAGUCACGGUAGCGGCGCAUACAGCUAACAACCCCGAUUGGGGUAUGGUGGUGAGGCUGACAUGAAAUCCAAGCUUCCCACCACCACCGCAAAAUGGUUAAUUAGACCCAUAAGUAUAGCUUGCUAAAAAGGCCUAUUUUUUAUAACUACUCUUACAUGCAUUUGCUAAUUUUUCCCCAUACUCUUUUUAUUAAAGAAUACCUUAG
This 1267-nucleotide long non-coding RNA is filed under the name Medicago truncatula (barrel medic). Its description in RNAcentral is "long non-coding RNA (MTRU_LNC005872)". The record is from RNAcentral. Lineage: Eukaryota; Viridiplantae; Streptophyta; Magnoliopsida; Fabales; Fabaceae.